Molecule: transfer RNA, 64 nt
Filed under: Longpotamon xiushuiense
Lineage: Eukaryota; Metazoa; Arthropoda; Malacostraca; Decapoda; Potamidae
Description: tRNA-Pro
Source: RNAcentral
UAACAGAGGAUAGUUUAAAAAAAAUAUUAGUUUUGGGGAUUAAAGAUGAAAAUUAUUUUCCUCU